GAUGAACGCUGGCGGCGUGCCUAAUACAUGCAAGUCGAGCGAACGGACGAGAAGCUUGCUUCUCUGAUGUUAGCGGCGGACGGGUGAGUAACACGUGGAUAACCUACCUAUAAGACUGGGAUAACUUCGGGAAACCGGAGCUAAAACCGGAUGAUAUUUUGAACCGCAUGGUUCAAAAGUGAAAGACGGUCUUGCUGUCACUUAUAGAUGGAUCCGCGCUGCAUUAGCUAGUUGGUAAGGUAACGGCUUACCAAGGCAACGAUGCAUAGCCGACCUGAGAGGGUGAUCGGCCACACUGGAACUGAGACACGGUCCAGACUCCUACGGGAGGCAGCAGUAGGGAAUCUUCCGCAAUGGGCGAAAGCCUGACGGAGCAACGCCGCGUGAGUGAUGAAGGUCUUCGGAUCGUAAAACUCUGUUAUUAGGGAAGAACAUAUGUGUAAGUAACUGUGCACAUCUUGACGGUACCUGAUCAGAAAGCCACGGCUAACUACGUG
Molecule: ribosomal RNA, 497 nt
Filed under: uncultured bacterium
Lineage: Bacteria
Description: partial 16S ribosomal RNA
Rfam family: Bacterial small subunit ribosomal RNA
Source: RNAcentral